UUUUAGGAAGAAAAGUCAGAAUAUUUUAGGAAGAAAAGUCAGAAUAUUUCCGAACAAAAUCGGAAUAUUUCAAGAAAAAAAGUCUGAAUAUAUCAUAAAAGGUCCUCCACUAAUCCAACCCCCGGCAGCGUUCUCCGUCCUCAUAUCUAAACCAGAGAAGGUAACGGUCGCGGUUUUAAACACGUGGUUAACGUUGUCAAACGGUCCCAGUUUGGUUAGGUUUCGACACCAAAACUACUGAGUUUAGUUGAUAAAAAUAUGGAGGUUUUCAAAUCAGACGUGACUUCACUUCCUGAAGGUUACCACGUGACGCAGAACGUGACCCAGAGCCUUCUGAGAUGAAACUUGCCUCGCAUUUGCCAACCACUCCCUCUGUUCUUCCCUUUCACAAUGAAAGCCCCCGACUGCCUAACUAUUUACCAGUCGGUGUGAAUAUUUAGAGGCCAGCAUUUCACAUCUUUGUUUGGUUUGUUGGUAACGCUCACAGUGUGUAAAGGCCUGAUUCAGAAUACUCAAACAUAACAUAACCUUCUUGUUGUAUGU
Long non-coding RNA from Sander lucioperca (pikeperch), 543 nucleotides. RefSeq lists it as uncharacterized. Lineage: Eukaryota; Metazoa; Chordata; Actinopteri; Perciformes; Percidae. The transcript has 3 exons. The record is from RefSeq and is a predicted model, not a curated record.